Molecule: ribosomal RNA, 497 nt
Filed under: uncultured bacterium
Lineage: Bacteria
Description: partial 16S ribosomal RNA
Rfam family: Bacterial small subunit ribosomal RNA
Source: RNAcentral
GAUGAACGCUGGCGGCGUGCCUAAUACAUGCAAGUCGAGCGAACAGACGAGGAGCUUGCUCCUCUGACGUUAGCGGCGGACGGGUGAGUAACACGUGGAUAACCUACCUAUAAGACUGGGAUAACUUCGGGAAACCGGAGCUAAUACCGGAUAAUAUAUUGAACCGCAUGGUUCAAUAGUGAAAGACGGUUCUGCUGUCACUUAUAGAUGGAUCCGCGCCGCAUUAGCUAGUUGGUAAGGUAACGGCUUACCAAGGCAACGAUGCGUAGCCGACCUGAGAGGGUGAUCGGCCACACUGGAACUGAGACACGGUCCAGACUCCUACGGGAGGCAGCAGUAGGGAAUCUUCCGCAAUGGGCGAAAGCUUGACGGAGCAACGCCGCGUGAGUGAUGAAGGUCUUCGGAUCGUAAAACUCUGUUAUUAGGGAAGAACAAAUGUGCAAGUAACUAUGCACGUCUUGACGGUACCUAAUCAGAAAGCCACGGCUAACUACGUG